AAGAGAGAGGAGGAAGAGGAAGAGAAGCAGAGAAAGAAAGAGAAAGAAAAGGGAGGAGGAAAAGAAAACGGUCCUAAGGUAGCGAAAUUCAUUGUCGCGUAAGUCCCGACCCUCAGGAAAUGCGUAACGAUUUGGGCACUGUCGCAACAACAGACGCUGUGCAAGUGUCAUUCCGGUGAAGAUGCCGGAGACAUGCGACAGGACGGAAAGACCCCAUGGAGCUUUACUGUAGAUUGACAUUGGGUCUUGGUACUACAUGUACAGGAUAGGGGGGAGGCUUUGAAACCAGGACGCCAGUUUUGGCGGAGCCAUCCUGGGGAUACCACCCUUGUGUACUGGGACUCUAACCAUAGGCCAUGAAUCUGGACUUGGGACACUGUCAGGUGGGCAGUUUGACUGGGGCGGUCGCCUCCCAAA
Molecule: ribosomal RNA, 417 nt
Filed under: Clostridioides difficile
Lineage: Bacteria; Bacillati; Bacillota; Clostridia; Peptostreptococcales; Peptostreptococcaceae
Description: bacterial LSU rRNA
Rfam family: Bacterial large subunit ribosomal RNA
Source: RNAcentral